Molecule: ribosomal RNA, 274 nt
Filed under: uncultured bacterium
Lineage: Bacteria
Description: partial 16S ribosomal RNA
Rfam family: Bacterial small subunit ribosomal RNA
Source: RNAcentral
AUACGGAGGGUGCAAGCGUUACUCGGAAUCACUGGGCGUAAAGCGCGCGCAGGCGGUCUUUUAAGUUGGAUGUGAAAGCCUACAGCUCAACUGUAGAACUGCAUCCAAAACUAUUAGACUAGAGUCUGGGAGGGGAAGAUGGAAUUAGUUGUGUAGGGGUAAAAUCCGUAGAGAUAACUAGGAAUACCAAAAGCGAAGGCGAUCUUCUGGAACAGUACUGACGCUGAGGCGCGAAAGCGUGGGGAGCAAACAGGAUUAGAUACCCGUGUAGUCC